AUUGAACGCUAGCGGGAUGCUUUACACAUGCAAGUCGAACGGCAGCGCGAGAGAGCUUGCUCUCUUGGCGGCGAGUGGCGGACGGGUGAGUAAUAUAUCGGAACGUGCCCAGUAGCGGGGGAUAACUACUCGAAAGAGUGGCUAAUACCGCAUACGCCCUACGGGGGAAAGGGGGGGAUCGCAAGACCUCUCACUAUUGGAGCGGCCGAUAUCGGAUUAGCUAGUUGGUGGGGUAAAGGCUCACCAAGGCAACGAUCCGUAGCUGGUUUGAGAGGACGACCAGCCACACUGGGACUGAGACACGGCCCAGACUCCUACGGGAGGCAGCAGUGGGGAAUUUUGGACAAUGGGGGAAACCCUGAUCCAGCCAUCCCGCGUGUAUGAUGAAGGCCUUCGGGUUGUAAAGUACUUUUGGCAGAGAAGAAAAGGUAYCYCCUAAUACGRGRUACUGCUGACGGUAUCUGCAGAAUAAGCACCGGCUAACUACGU
RNAcentral lists this ribosomal RNA (489 nucleotides) under Alcaligenes sp. 13-2. Its description in RNAcentral is "bacterial SSU rRNA". It matches the Rfam family "Bacterial small subunit ribosomal RNA", at positions 30 to 506 of the family's 1533-position model. The record is from RNAcentral. Lineage: Bacteria; Pseudomonadati; Pseudomonadota; Betaproteobacteria; Burkholderiales; Alcaligenaceae.